CCUACGGGAGGCAGCAGUGGGGAAUAUUGGACAAUGGGCGCAAGCCUGAUCCAGCAAUGCCGCGUGUGUGAAGAAGGCCUUAGGGUUGUAAAGCACUUUCAGUGGGGAGGAAGUUGAAGAUAUUAAUACCAUUUUCAAUUGACGUUACCCACAGAAGAAGCACCGGCUAACUCUGUGCCAGCAGCCGCGGUAAUACAGAGGGUGCGAGCGUUAAUCGGAAUUACUGGGCGUAAAGGGUGUGUAGGUGGUUAGGUAAGUUAGAUGUGAAAUCCCUGGGCUCAACCUGGGAACUGCGUUUAAAACUGUUUAGCUAGAGUAUUGCAGAGGAUAGUGGAAUUUCCAGUGUAGCGGUGAAAUGCGUAGAUAUUGGAAGGAACACCAGUGGCGAAGGCGACUAUCUGGGCAAAUACUGACACUGAGACACGAAAGCAUGGGGAGCAAACAGGAUUAGAUACCCUGGUAGUCCAUGCUGUAACUAUAGAGAACUUAGUCUGUUGGUACGACGAUAAAGGUACGUUUAAGUUAGUACGAAGACGUAACGUACGGUUAACGUUUACGUUCCGUCCGUCGGGGUAGGGUACGGGUUCCGGCGACGGACGUUAAACGUUAACGAAGUUAGAGUUAGUUACGGGACGUUGAGGACGUUGCCGACGGACGACGACGAGGGAGGAGG
This 673-nucleotide ribosomal RNA is filed under the name uncultured bacterium. RNAcentral's name for it is "bacterial SSU rRNA". The stretch from base 1 to 565 matches the Rfam family "Bacterial small subunit ribosomal RNA", at positions 338 to 873 of the family's 1533-position model. The record is from RNAcentral.